Molecule: unclassified non-coding RNA, 243 nt
Filed under: Hevea brasiliensis (rubber tree)
Lineage: Eukaryota; Viridiplantae; Streptophyta; Magnoliopsida; Malpighiales; Euphorbiaceae
Source: RNAcentral
GUUGAAAGAACUGCCUGUUCAAUCUCUGCAAGAGUAUGAUAGUAAAGUCAAAGGUUCUGCCAUUUUUGCAAUUUGAGUGGGCAUCAUGUGAGUCCAUUAUGCGAUAUUAAGCGAAGGAUGCGUGCAGGUCUUUCGAAGCUCUGAAUUUGGUGCGGUAUCAAACUAUUUAAGCCUAGCGUACAGGCAAAGCGAUUCAGUUUGGCAUGUGGUGCAGUCUAAUUGGCCAGGCUAUCAUACUCUUGC